Molecule: long non-coding RNA, 892 nt
Organism: Melospiza melodia melodia
Lineage: Eukaryota; Metazoa; Chordata; Aves; Passeriformes; Passerellidae
Exons: 4
Source: RefSeq, a predicted model, not a curated record
UUCCCAGGGAUCAGUGAAUUUUAACUUUGGAGUCCUCUUUGCUAAGGAUGCUCAGCUUACAGAUGAUGAAAUGUUCAGUAAUGUAUUUGCUGCAGCUCUGCUUACCCAAGCUUUGGGUUCCUUCUGUCCCACUGGGAGUUGCCCAAUUUGGUUGCAUCUGGUGAAAUUCACCCUGAGACCUUACAGAACCAGCUCCAACUACGUGAGAGCCAUUUGCAGUUCUCUCCAGACACCUGGAGAAUGGGCAACGUUUCUGAGGAUCCGGCGAGCGUGCUUCUGUCAAAACUCAGUCUGUGAAAUUCCUGGGGAAAACCCUUCUGUGUCCUGAAGGGUUCAAACUCUGGUGAGGAUCCAGUUAUCAGGUGCUCACCUGGAUGGUUCCUGCUCCCAAAGGGAAAGACUCUCGUAUCCUUGUCGUCGGGCUCAGUGCUGUCCAAGAAGAUACAGAGACUACAAAAACCAUAAGAAGCAAAAUACGACUGCAGGGAAAAGAAGCUGGAGAGAACAGAAGAGCCCAGAACACGAUUUCCUCGGGCUGCCAUUUGUGUGCCAUCGGUACUCACCGUGGAAGGGAGCUGGGGAUUGUUGCAGCUGUUGGGAACAAACCGCUUCUCGUCACACAGAAAUGGAAUUGGGACGACGCCUCGGCCAGCCCCUCUCUGCCAUCGUCUCCUGAAUCUGCAGCAGAGCAGUUCCAGUCCAUCCAGGCAUGUGUAAUCCAGUUCCUGAUGAUCUGAGCACACAGAGAAGCACUCAGCUGCUGUGGGGGGCUCACGGAAGGCAGAGUGUGCAUUGUCAUCUUCCUGAACCUACAGACAAAUCAAAGUGAGAAGCCACAGCGUGGAAAUCAGUCGCAUAUAUGCUAAAUAAAACUUGCAGAUUUUUUUAAGAA